GAACAGUGUGAGUUAGUAUUGACUGUUUGAUACGUAAACAUGAAAUUCUUCAUACUGUUGCAGAUGGUGUUAAUACUUAUUUUAAUUGGGUGCGGUGUUAACAUGACUGAAUACAAAAAUCGAAAGGAUGGAAACUUUAUUAAAGUUAAAGCCAAAGUUGUAUGUGAUCAAGAUGAAAUAUUCAUGGCCGGAAAAUGCAGACCUGUAAAUGUUUAAUUACAAAUGAACUAAUAAUGUUUCCUCACAUGAUCCCGGAAACAGGAGACACGAAUAACAUAGCCAUAAUAAUAGCCGGACAAUAAGUAGUUAAGAGAUAGUAGUUAAGUGUAACAAGAUUAUUGUAAUACAAUUUUUUUCAUAAUUGUCUUAUUUACAUUACAAAUUACCAAAUAAAAUACCUAAAGCUAA
Long non-coding RNA from Anoplophora glabripennis (Asian longhorned beetle), 408 nucleotides. RefSeq lists it as uncharacterized. The transcript is spliced from 2 exons. NCBI's taxonomy places the organism in Eukaryota, Metazoa, Arthropoda, Insecta, Coleoptera, Cerambycidae. The record is from RefSeq and is a predicted model, not a curated record.